AACGAACGCUGGCGGCAGGCUUAACACAUGCAAGUCGAGCGAAGCCUUCGGGCUUAGCGGCGGACGGGUGAGUACCGCGUGGGAACGUGCCUUUCUCUACGGAAUAGUCCUGGGAAACUGGGUUUAAUACCGUAUACGCCCUUCGGGGGAAAGAUUUAUCGGAGAGAGAUCGGCCCGCGUUAGAUUAGGUAGUUGGUGGGGUAAUGGCCUACCAAGCCUACGAUCUAUAGCUGGUUUGAGAGGAUGAUCAGCCACACUGGGACUGAGACACGGCCCAG
This 278-nucleotide ribosomal RNA is filed under the name uncultured bacterium. Its description in RNAcentral is "partial 16S ribosomal RNA". It matches the Rfam family "Bacterial small subunit ribosomal RNA", at positions 29 to 334 of the family's 1533-position model. The record is from RNAcentral.